UCAAGAUCUGGAAUGAAGGUGUUUCAUUUGCAGCUCAAAUCAUCUGGAUUAAAGGUUAUGUCUUCCCAGCUGAAAAGAUCUGACUAAGUGGGGUAACUUCAGAGACUCAAUUGAUCAAAGUGAUGAAAAUCAGUGGCUGUUGAUAUCUCAGCUCUAAACAAGACAUCUACAUCAUCCUCUCCAAGGCUAGGAAACAUAGAAGAGGGAGCAGAAAGGAUGUAAAGCCCAGACAGCCAUCUGAAAAGAUCUUCAAACCGAACACCCGCUUGUGUACCAGCAUAUAUAGGGCGGCAGCAGAUGGGAUGGCCCAUCUCUACUUCCAGGCUUCAGAGGUGCUUCAGACCCAUCUUCAGAGGAGGUGAGAGCCUAGGUCUUUGUGCUCAACUGUGUAGGUAGUACCUCAGAACUUUGCUAUCAGUGCUGUGUUUAUUUCUCUAACCCAAGUGCUCUUACCUCCUGGCUUCCUUAGAAUAAUAACCUUCUAUUAGACUGGGUAGUGGUGGGGUAUGCCUUCAAUCCCAGCACUUGGGAGGCAGAAGCAGGCAAAUCUCUGGGUUCAUGGCUAAUGUGGUCUACA
Molecule: non-coding RNA, 577 nt
Organism: Myodes glareolus (Bank vole)
Lineage: Eukaryota; Metazoa; Chordata; Mammalia; Rodentia; Cricetidae
Source: RefSeq, a predicted model, not a curated record